GAUGAACGCUAGCGGCAGGCCUAAUACAUGCAAGACGAACGGUAAGUUGAGUAGCAAUACUUAGCCAAGAGUGUCGUACGGGUGCGUAACACGUAUGCAACCUACCCUAUACAGGAGGAUAGCCUAGGGAAACCUGGAUUAACCCUUCAUAGUAUUAUUGGAUGGCAUCAUUUGAUAAUUAAAACUGAGGUGGUAUAGGAUGGGCAUGCGUCUGAUUAGUUAGUUGGCGGGGUAAUGGCCCACCAAGACGAUGAUCAGUAGGGGUUCUGAGAGGAAGAUCCCCCACACUGGCACUGAGAUACGGGCCAGACUCCUACGGGAGGCAGCAGUAGGGAAUAUUGGUCAAUGGAUGCAAGUCUGAACCAGCCAUGCCGCGUGCAGGAAGAAGGCCCUUCUGGGGUUGUAAACUGCUUUUGCCAGGGGAUAAAAUUUCCAUGCGUGGAAAACUGAAGGUACCUGGUGAAUAAGCCACGGCUAACUACGUGCCAGCAGCCG
This 495-nucleotide ribosomal RNA is filed under the name uncultured bacterium. Its description in RNAcentral is "bacterial SSU rRNA". It matches the Rfam family "Bacterial small subunit ribosomal RNA", at positions 28 to 517 of the family's 1533-position model. The record is from RNAcentral.